GACGAACGCUGGCGGCGUGCUUAACACAUGCAAGUCGAGCGGUAAGGCCCUUUCGGGGUACGACGAGCGGCGAACGGGUGAGUAACACGUGGGUGACCUCGCCCUCAGCUCUGGGAUAAGCCUGGGAAACGUGGGUCUAAUACUGGAUAUGACUCCACGGUGCAUGUCGUGGGGUGGAAAGCCUUGUGCGGCUGAGGAUGGGCCCGCGGCCUAUCAGCUUGUUGGGUGGGGUGANGGCCUACCAAGGCGACGACGGGUAGCCGGCCUGAGAGGGCGACCGGCCACACUGGGACUGAGAC
This 299-nucleotide ribosomal RNA is filed under the name uncultured bacterium. Its description in RNAcentral is "partial 16S ribosomal RNA". It matches the Rfam family "Bacterial small subunit ribosomal RNA", at positions 28 to 325 of the family's 1533-position model. The record is from RNAcentral.